RNAcentral lists this ribosomal RNA (261 nucleotides) under uncultured prokaryote. RNAcentral's name for it is "partial 16S ribosomal RNA". It matches the Rfam family "Bacterial small subunit ribosomal RNA", at positions 524 to 784 of the family's 1533-position model. The record is from RNAcentral.
UACGUAGGUGGCGAGCGUUAUCCGGAAUUAUUGGGCGUAAAGAGCGCGCAGGUGGUUGAUUAAGUCUGAUGUGAAAGCCCACGGCUUAACCGUGGAGGGUCAUUGGAAACUGGUCGACUUGAGUGCAGAAGAGGGAAGUGGAAUUCCAUGUGUAGCGGUGAAAUGCGUAGAGAUAUGGAGGAACACCAGUGGCGAAAGCGGCUUCCUGGUCUGUAACUGACACUGAGGCGCGAAAGCGUGGGGAGCAAACAGGAUUAGAUA